This 429-nucleotide ribosomal RNA is filed under the name Chloroflexota bacterium. RNAcentral's name for it is "Chloroflexi bacterium partial 16S ribosomal RNA". It matches the Rfam family "Bacterial small subunit ribosomal RNA", at positions 355 to 776 of the family's 1533-position model. Lineage: Bacteria; Bacillati; Chloroflexota. The record is from RNAcentral.
UGGGGAAUAUUGCACAAUGGGCGCAAGCCUGAUGCAGCCAUGCCGCGUGUAUGAAGAAGGCCUUCGGGUUGUAAAGUACUUUCAGUCGGGAGGAAGGUGGUAAGGUUAAUAACCUUAUCAAUUGACGUUACCCGCAGAAGAAGCACCGGCUAACUCCGUGCCAGCAGCCGCGGUAAUACGGAGGGUGCAAGCGUUAAUCGGAAUUACUGGGCGUAAAGCGCACGCAGGCGGUCUGUCAAGUCGGAUGUGAAAUCCCCGGGCUUAACCUGGGAACUGCAUUCGAAACUGGCAGGCUAGAGUCUUGUAGAGGGGGGUAGAAUUCCAGGUGUAGCGAUGAAAUGCGUAGAGAUCUGGAGGAAUACCGGUGGCGAAGGCGGCCCCCUGGACAAAGACUGACGCUCAGGUGCGAAAGCGUGGGGAGCAAACAGG